ACGCACGUGUGAAACUUGAAGGAAUUGACGGAAGGGCACCACAAGAACGCGUGGAGCAUGUGGCUUAAUUUGACCCAACGCGGGAAAUCUUACCGGGUCCGGACACACUGAGGAUUGACAGGCAAUAUUAGCACUUUCACAAUUUAUUGUGUGGUGUUAUGUUAAAUAUGCUAGUCCUUUCAUGAUUAUGUGAUAGGUGGUGCAUGGCCGUUCUUAGUUCGUGGAGUGAUCUGUCUGCUUAAUUGCGUUUCACCAAGGGCCUAUAAUUUUACGUGUGUUGCGGCACUUUGACCCCUCCUUUUUUAAAGGAGCGCGUGUCUUAGUUUGCUUAGCUCGCACAAUUAGGUCCUGAAAGCAACGAACGUGACCG
This 370-nucleotide ribosomal RNA is filed under the name Foraminifera environmental sample. RNAcentral describes it as "SSU rRNA". It matches the Rfam family "Eukaryotic small subunit ribosomal RNA", at positions 1129 to 1441 of the family's 1831-position model. Lineage: Eukaryota; Foraminifera. The record is from RNAcentral.